RNAcentral lists this ribosomal RNA (433 nucleotides) under uncultured bacterium. Its description in RNAcentral is "partial 16S ribosomal RNA". It matches the Rfam family "Bacterial small subunit ribosomal RNA", at positions 29 to 507 of the family's 1533-position model. The record is from RNAcentral.
AACGAACGCUGGCGGCAUGCCUAACACAUGCAAGUCGAACGAGACCUUCGGGUCUAGUGGCGCACGGGUGCGUAACGCGUGGGAACCUGCCCUUAGGUUCGGAAUAACUCCCCGAAAGGGGUGCUAAUACCGGUUGAUGUCUUCGGACCAAAGAUUUAUUGCCUUUGGGUGGGCCCGCGUUGGAUUAGCUAGUUGGUAGGGGAAAAGCCUACCAAGGCGACGAUGCAUAGCUGGUCGGAGAGGAGGAUCAGCCACACUGGGACUGAGACACGGCCCAGACUCCUACGGGAGGCAGCAGUGUGGAAUAUUAGGCAAUGGGCGAAAGCCUGAUCCAGCAAUGCCGCGUGAGUGAUGAAGGCCUUAGGGUUGUAAAGCUCUUUUACCCGGGAUGAUAAUGACAGUACCGGGAGAAUAAGCUCCGGCUAACUCCGUG